RNAcentral lists this ribosomal RNA (506 nucleotides) under uncultured bacterium. Its description in RNAcentral is "partial 16S ribosomal RNA". It matches the Rfam family "Bacterial small subunit ribosomal RNA", at positions 30 to 523 of the family's 1533-position model. The record is from RNAcentral.
AUUGAACGCUGGCGGCAGGCUUAACACAUGCAAGUCGAGCGGUAACAGAGAGAAGCUUGCUUCUCUGCUGACGAGCGGCGGACGGGUGAGUAAUGCCUAGGAAUCUGCCUAGUAGUGGGGGAUAACUUGCCGAAAGGUAAGCUAAUACCGCAUACGUCCUACGGGAGAAAGGAGGGGACCUUCGGGCCUUUCGCUAUUAGAUGAGCCUAGGUCGGAUUAGUUAGUUGGUGAGGUAAUGGCUCACCAAGACCGCGAUCCGUAACUGGUCUGAGAGGAUGAUCAGUCACACUGGAACUGAGACACGGUCCAGACUCCUACGGGAGGCAGCAGUGGGGAAUAUUGGACAAUGGGGGGAACCCUGAUCCAGCCAUGCCGCGUGUGUGAAGAAGGUCUUAGGAUCGUAAAGCACUUUAAGUUGGGAGGAAGAGCAGUCAACUAAUAUUUGACUGUUUUGACGUUACCGACAGAAUAAGCACCGGCUAACUUCGUGCCAGCCGCCGCAGUAA